UCAGUAGGUAAUAGGAGUAUUUGGGAGAAGAGAUCAAGAUUCGAAACUCGGCAGCGGCAAUGUAGGGAUUAUGCUCAAAGUGGGCAAUUACUUGUGCACCGACAUUUGGCCUUGUCUGCUGAGUC
Long non-coding RNA from Ipomoea nil (Japanese morning glory), 125 nucleotides. RefSeq lists it as uncharacterized. NCBI's taxonomy places the organism in Eukaryota, Viridiplantae, Streptophyta, Magnoliopsida, Solanales, Convolvulaceae. The transcript is spliced from 3 exons. The record is from RefSeq and is a predicted model, not a curated record.